GUAUAAUGGGUCAGCGACUUAUAUUCUGUAGCAAGGUUAACCGUAUAGGGGAGCCGCAGGGAAACCGAGUCUUAACUGGGCGUUAAGUUGCAGGGUAUAGACCCGAAACCCGGUGAUCUAGCCAUGGGCAGGUUGAAGGUUGGGUAACACUAACUGGAGGACCGAACCGACUAAUGUUGAAAAAUUAGCGGAUGACUUGUGGCUGGGGGUGAAAGGCCAAUCAAACCGGGAGAUAGCUGGUUCUCCCCGAAAGCUAUUUAGGUAGCGCCUCGUGAAUUCAUCUUCGGGGGUAGAGCACUGUUUCGGCUAGGGGGUCAUCCCGACUUACCAACCCGAUGCAAACUACGAAUACCGAAGAAUGUUAUCACGGGAGACACACGGCGGGUGCUAACGUCCGUCGUGAAGAGGGAAACAACCCAGACCGCCAGCUAAGGUCCCAAAGUCACAGUUAAG
RNAcentral lists this ribosomal RNA (453 nucleotides) under Klebsiella aerogenes. Its description in RNAcentral is "partial 23S ribosomal RNA". It matches the Rfam family "Bacterial large subunit ribosomal RNA", at positions 610 to 1063 of the family's 2925-position model. Lineage: Bacteria; Pseudomonadati; Pseudomonadota; Gammaproteobacteria; Enterobacterales; Enterobacteriaceae. The record is from RNAcentral.